AGCGAACGCUGGCGGCGUGCUUAACACAUGCAAGUCGAACGUGAAAUGUAGCAAUACAGAGUAAAGUGGCGUACGGGUGAGUAACACGUGGGUAAUCUACCAAAGAGCCUGGAAUAACCGACCGAAAGGUUGGCUAAUACUGGAUAGUUCAAAUGAAAUAUAAUGUUUCGAUUGGGAAAGGGAGCGAGCAAUCGCUUUCACUUUUUGAUGAGCCCGCGUCUGAUUAGCUAGUUGGUAGGGUAAUGGCCUACCAAGGCGACGAUCAGUAGCUGGUCUGAGAGGAUGAUCAGCCACACUGGAACGGAAACACGGUCCAGACUCCUACGGGAGGCAGCAGUGGGGAAUCUUGCGCAAUGGACGAAAGUCUGACGCAGCCACGCCGCGUGAGUGAAGAAGGCCUUCGGGUUGUAAAGCUCUGUCGGAAGGGACAAAAACGUUUAAGGUUAAUAGCCUUAGAUCUUGAUGGUACCUUCAAAGGAAGCACCGGCUAACUUCGUGCCAGCCGCCGCCGUAA
This 514-nucleotide ribosomal RNA is filed under the name uncultured bacterium. Its description in RNAcentral is "partial 16S ribosomal RNA". It matches the Rfam family "Bacterial small subunit ribosomal RNA", at positions 29 to 523 of the family's 1533-position model. The record is from RNAcentral.